RNAcentral lists this ribosomal RNA (468 nucleotides) under uncultured bacterium. RNAcentral's name for it is "partial 16S ribosomal RNA". It matches the Rfam family "Bacterial small subunit ribosomal RNA", at positions 28 to 507 of the family's 1533-position model. The record is from RNAcentral.
GACGAACGCUGGCGGCGUGCUUAACACAUGCAAGUCGAACGGAAAGGCCCUGCUUUUGCGGGGUGCUCGAGUGGCGAACGGGUGAGUAACACGUGAGUAACCUGCCCUUGACUUUGGGAUAACUUCAGGAAACUGGGGCUAAUACCGGAUAGGAGCUCCUGCUGCACGGUGGGGGUUGGAAAGUUUCGGCGGUUGGGGAUGGACUCGCGGCUUAUCAGCUUGUUGGUGGGGUAGUGGCUUACCAAGGCUUUGACGGGUAGCCGGCCUGAGAGGGUGACCGGGCACAUUGGGACUGAGGUACGGCCCAGUCUCCUACGGGAGGCAACAGUGGGGAAUAUUGCACAAUGGGCGGAAGCCUGAUGCAGCAACGCCGCGUGCGGGAUGACGGCCUUCGGGUUGUAAACCGCUUUCGCCUGUGACGAAGCGUGAGUGACGGUAAUGGGUAAAGAAGCACCGGCUAACUACGUG